GUCUUUUUGAGUUAUUUUAAAAGUCUGACCUGCCCACUGAAAUAUUUAAAUGGCCGCAGUAUUUUAACUGUGCAAAGGUAGCAUAAUCAUUAGUCUUUUAAUUGAAGGCUGGUAUGAACGGUUGGACGAAGUAUAGACUGUUUCAUGUAAAUUUGUUAUAGAAUUUUAUAUUUUAGUUAAAAAGCUAAAAUAUAAUUAAAAGACGAGAAGACCCUAUAAAUCUUUAUAUUUUAUAUAUUUUAAGUUUUUUAGAUAUAUUUUAUUUUUAUUAUAUUAAGUAUUUUGUUGGGGUGAUGUUAAAAUUUAAUUAACUUUUAAUUAUUUUAAAUCAUUAAUUUAUGAAUUAUUGAUCCAUUAGUAGUGAUUAUAAGAUUAAGUUACUUUAGGGAUAACAGCGUAAUUUUUUUGGAGAGUUCAUAUCGAUAAAAAAGUUUGCGACCUCGAUGUUGGAUUAAGAUAUAAUUUUAGGUGUAGUCGCUUAAAUGUUAAGUCUGUUCGACUUUUAAAUUCUU
Molecule: ribosomal RNA, 512 nt
Filed under: Dacus gypsoides
Lineage: Eukaryota; Metazoa; Arthropoda; Insecta; Diptera; Tephritidae
Description: partial 16S ribosomal RNA
Rfam family: Bacterial large subunit ribosomal RNA (bases 388-512)
Source: RNAcentral